UGGUGGAGCGAUUUGUCUGGUUAAUUCCGUUAACGAACGAGACCUCAGCCUACUAAUUAGUUCAGCCAAUUCCCAUUGGCGCGACUUCUUAGAGGGACUAUCGGUUUUUCAGCCGAGGGAAGUUUGAGGCAAUAACA
Molecule: ribosomal RNA, 137 nt
Filed under: uncultured eukaryote
Lineage: Eukaryota
Description: partial 18S ribosomal RNA
Rfam family: Eukaryotic small subunit ribosomal RNA
Source: RNAcentral